RNAcentral lists this ribosomal RNA (253 nucleotides) under Blautia luti. RNAcentral describes it as "partial 16S ribosomal RNA". It matches the Rfam family "Bacterial small subunit ribosomal RNA", at positions 524 to 776 of the family's 1533-position model. The record is from RNAcentral. Lineage: Bacteria; Bacillati; Bacillota; Clostridia; Lachnospirales; Lachnospiraceae.
UACGUAGGGGGCAAGUGUUAUCCGGAUUUACUGGGUGUAAAGGGAGCGUAGACGGAUGGACAAGUCUGAUGUGAAAGGCUGGGGCUCAACCCCGGGACUGCAUUGGAAACUGCCCGUCUUGAGUGCCGGAGAGGUAAGCGGAAUUCCUAGUGUAGCGGUGAAAUGCGUAGAUAUUAGGAGGAACACCAGUGGCGAAGGCGGCUUACUGGACGGUAACUGACGUUGAGGCUCGAAAGCGUGGGGAGCAAACAGG